This 169-nucleotide non-coding RNA is filed under the name Triticum aestivum (bread wheat). Its description in RNAcentral is "Bacterial large subunit ribosomal RNA". It matches the Rfam family "Bacterial large subunit ribosomal RNA", at positions 2103 to 2284 of the family's 2925-position model. The record is from Rfam by way of RNAcentral. Lineage: Eukaryota; Viridiplantae; Streptophyta; Magnoliopsida; Poales; Poaceae.
ACUAUAGCUUCGUAGUGACAACCUUGAUCGAAUGUGUAGGAUAGGUGGGAGGUGGUGACACACAACGACCAAUCCUGAAAGACCACUCUUUCGUCUAAGGAUGCCUAACCACCGCACCGAUCAUUCGGGGGGGGGAUACUGCAAGGUGGGUAGUUUAUCUGGGGCGGAU